AAUCCAUACUGUGGGCACUUUCGCAACAGAUCCUUGAGUCAUUCUCAUAUCUCAAACAAGGACUCGAGCUCCAUCUGAACAAAAGAUGAUAUCUCAUUGCCAAGCUU
Dioscorea cayenensis subsp. rotundata (Guinea yam) is the source of this 107-nucleotide small nucleolar RNA. The record is from RefSeq and is a predicted model, not a curated record. NCBI's taxonomy places the organism in Eukaryota, Viridiplantae, Streptophyta, Magnoliopsida, Dioscoreales, Dioscoreaceae.